RNAcentral lists this ribosomal RNA (372 nucleotides) under uncultured bacterium. Its description in RNAcentral is "bacterial SSU rRNA". It matches the Rfam family "Bacterial small subunit ribosomal RNA", at positions 30 to 407 of the family's 1533-position model. The record is from RNAcentral.
AUUGAACGCUGGCGGCAGGCCUAAUACAUGCAAGUCGAACGGUAACAUAAGAGAAGCUUGCUUUUCUUGAUGACGAGUGGCGGACGGGUGAGUAAGAUUUGGGAAACUACCUGAUAGAGGGGGACAACAGUUGGAAACGACUGCUAAUACCGCAUACAGCCUUAGGGUGAAAGAAGAAAUUCGCUAUCAGAUGUGCCCAAACGGGAUUAGCUAGUAGGUGAGGUAAAGGCUCACCUAGGCGACGAUCUCUAGCUGGUCUGAGAGGAUGAUCAGCCACAUUGGGACUGAGACACGGCCCAGACUCCUACGGGAGGCAGCAGUAGGAAUAUUGCACAAUGGAGGAAACUCUGAUGCAGCCAUGCCGCGUGUGUG